UUUUUUAUUAUUUAUGGAGUUGGAACAGAUUCCCUACGUUUGCCGCUAGGGGCGCUGUUCCAACUGCAUACAAAUUUGAGGUA
RNAcentral lists this microRNA precursor (83 nucleotides) under Bombyx mori (domestic silkworm). Its description in RNAcentral is "mir-2807 microRNA precursor family". It matches the Rfam family "mir-2807 microRNA precursor family". The record is from Rfam by way of RNAcentral. Lineage: Eukaryota; Metazoa; Arthropoda; Insecta; Lepidoptera; Bombycidae.